RNAcentral lists this long non-coding RNA (5963 nucleotides) under Homo sapiens (human). Its description in RNAcentral is "HSALNT0390635". The record is from RNAcentral. Lineage: Eukaryota; Metazoa; Chordata; Mammalia; Primates; Hominidae.
GGAUGUUGACCCGGAGCCUCCCUGCGCUCCUGCGGCGGCCCCGCCACAUAACAAGAAGCUGAAGCUCAAGGAAGGAGGUUCUGGGACUCAUCUCAGAUCCCAUGGCCAGGAAGCGGUGGCCACUCUGGAAUUCUUGACCCUGCCCAGACCAGCACCUUCCACAGCAGAGACCCCCUCCAAGGAGCGGGCGACGUGUGACUUCCCCAUGGGUGGACUCUGGGCUGCAGUGAUCGGCUAGCGGUGCCAUCUUUAGUCUGGGAGCUGUGUGAAGCCUGCUCCCCACCUUCCCCCUCCUGCAAAUAUUGGGGGAGGGGCAUGGAGGACAGGAAGAUAGAAGCAAAAGUGGCAGUGACCGGUGCAUGAGAGAUUGGGAGAUACGUGCUGGGGAGGGGUUCCCCGGAGCAGAGCUGGCUGCCCUUGGCACUGGGCCCAGGCGGAGGAGUGGCAAGACCAACAGUUCCUGGAGCACAAGUCCCUCAGCCGGUGCCCAGUGCCAGCCAUCGCCAUGUUCUCAUCUGCCAGCAGCAAAAUGAGAAAAAUAAGGACAAUAUAGUGAGGUUUUACUAAAGCUAGGUUUACUCAAUCCAAAAGACUGUCCUUUUAUCUGAGCUUUGUAUUUUCAAUCGUGUGUGUGUCUGUGUGUGUGUGUCUGUGUCUGUGUGUGUCUGUGUGUGUGAGCACAAAAGGACCUUUCCUUUGACAUUUCCUUUUAAUGACCUCAAACUCAGCAAAAUAAAAAAACUGGUGACUAGCUGGUGUGGUGGCUCAUGCCUGAAAUCCCAGCACUUUGGGAGGCCGAGGUGGACAGAUCGCUUAAGGCCAGUAGUCUGAGACCAGCCUGGCCAACAUGGUGAAACCCCAUCUCUACUAAAAAUACAGAAAUUAGCUGGGUAUGGUGGCGGACGCCUGUAAUUCCAGCUACUCGAGAAGCUGAGGCACAGGAGUCGCUUAAACCUAGGAGGCGGGGGUUGCAGUGAGCUGAGAUGGCACCACUGCGCUCCAGCCUGGGUGACACAGCGAGGCUCUGUCGCAAAAACAAAACUGGUGACGACGUCAGAUCCUAAAUUUUUUUAUUUUUUUGAAAUGUUAGUGAUGUGAGAAAUCCGAAAGGCUGAGACCCACUGGGCUAGCUUGUACGUGGCUCUGGGUGAAACCUGGCACAGGGGGGCAAUGUUUUUUAAUUGAGGGAUGAAUCUAAACAGCUGGAAGCUUCUCCCGGGGGGAGGAGGGGCUGGGUUCUUGCCCAGACUCAGCCCCUGAGGCCCCAGCCUAGGCAUCCCCAGGAAACCUGAGCAGAAGGAACAUUCACGUAACUGUACUGGGAAUUCUGAGAAGGGCCUAGGGGCCAGUUCCCCAUGCCACACACCCUCUGCUCAUCCCUGACCGGGAGCCGCGAGGCAAUCUUCCCUUAAACCCCACCUCGGCCUCCCCCAGCACCCCCAAGGCUGGUUCCAAAAUAGUCCAGGCCCUUGGAGGAGACAUCAUGGGUCGGGCUGGCUGCCUGUCCCGAGAGGACAUGGCAAUAACGCUGUGGCCGAAUAUAGAGGGACAGUAGACGCUGACAGGGGCCCUGGGGCCUGGGAGCCUCGCAGGUUCCACGGUGCCUGCUCCACCCCCAUCCCUUCUGAGCCCUGCACCCCCUAACCUGGACAGCUGGGAGGCUGGCGCCCCUCUCCUGGCCCAGCCCGGCCCACCUGGGGACAGGUCCGAACAAGCCCAGGUAGAACAGGAGGCCGGCCUAGGAGGGCCCAGGGCCUGGGCUGGGCAUGAGCUUGGGGCCACCUCUCUCUAGGGACUCAAAGCAUUUUAUAAGCUUAACUUCCCACAGGACAUCCCGAGAUCAGGAGACCAAGAGGAACCGGGGUGUCUGCUGCAGAGCCACUCCUGCUCUCUGUUCUCAGCUUCCGAAGGAGAACAGGGCCAUAAAGCUGGGGUGUGGGAGGCUGAGAGGAGAGCAGGAAGCCAGUCCAAACCCCAAUAAACUGCUGGUUGAAUCGAAUCACAAAUAAUUAGUCCCGAUGGCCAAGACUGCCUCCACCCUCCUCUCCUGGGAAUUAAAAGUCAAAGGGCAGAGCUGCUGACGCAGAUGCCAGGGGAGACAUGAGGCUUGGAACAGCUGGGACUCAGCUCCCAGGCUCCACUGCCCCAGGUCGCAGGCCCUGGUUGCCCCGGUUGCCCCGGACACGAUGUCCCCCAGGCAGGCCCCUAGAGCUUCAUUGCCAACUCAGGGAAGGGGGCUCUGCUCCCUCACCCUUCCCCUGGUGCUACGUCAACAGAACUAGAUUCAAGGUUAAUCAGGCUGCCCUGAAAACUGUUGCCAGAUGACAGCCUGGAAGAAGCAGUUGCCAGCCUCUCUCCCUCCCACCCCUGUAAGAGGAGGAAGAGAUCUCUGCCUCCCUGUCGAGGGGGAGCCUGGCUCCCUGAAACCCACUGCGCCCCUUCCCCUAGGUCGGCCUUGCCGCAGGCACCCCCUGGACGGCUGCACCAGGUCUGCGCGCCAGCGGUGACCCCCAGUGGUCAGUGCAGGACUUGAACCUGAGCCGUGGGCAUGGCUGCUGCAGACUCAUCACUGCAGCCUCAGCCCACAGCCAGUGACUUGGGAAGCCUUGCCGUGUGAGUGGUUUGGGGAUUUGAUCUUGGUAAGGCUGUUGCUGGCGUUUAGAGGUACUUCGUAGGUGCUGAUUUUUCCUAAUUGAACUGUGGCUGGAUCUUGGCCUAAAGGUCCCACUGUCAGCAAAUCCGUGUCCACAUGCCUAAGAAUGAAUUCAUCAUCUUCUAGCCCUAAACCGGCUCCUCCUCCUGACUUCCCUAUUUCUAUUAAUAGCACCGCCACCCUCCAAACCUCCGAGUCAUCUUCAGCCGCUCCCCACACUGGGCGGGGUGCCUGAUCUUGCCCCUCCUCCCUCCGCAGGUCACCCUUGCAUUACUCUCCUGGACACUCGUAGCCUCUCACCUGCGUCACUGACAUCCUCAACGAUGCUGCUGGGUCAGACCUGGGCAGGGGACCCACCCCUCUUCCACUUACUGGCCUCGCGACCCUGGGCAAGUUACUUAAACUCUCUGAGUCUCAGCUUCCUCAGCUGUAAUGUGAGGCUAAUAAUCACAGCCCCUCUCUCCUAGGGCAUUGCAUGAAUUAAAUGAUAGGCUGGGUGUGGUGGCUCAUGCCUGUAAUCCCAGCACUUUGGGAGGCCCCGGUGGGAGGAUCACCUGAGGUCAGGAGUUCCAGACCAGCCUGGCCAACAUAGUGAAACCCCGUCUCUACUAGAAAUACAAAAAUUAGCCAUGCCUGUAGUCCCAGCUACUCCGGAGACUGAGGCAGGAGAACCGCUUGAACCCAGGAGGCGGAGGUUGCAGCGAGCUGAGAUGUGCCACUGCACUCCAGCUUGGGCGACAGAGCCAGACUCCAUCUCAAAAAUAAAUAAAUAAAUAAAUAAAAUAAAAAAGAAUUAAAUGAUAGAAUGGACAUGAAGACCCUAUCACGUAAGAAAUGCUCGGGCCGGGCGCGGUGGCUCACGCCUGUAAUCCCAGCACUUUGGAAGGCCGAGGCAGGCGGAUCACGAGGUCAGGAGAUCGAGACCAUCCUGGCUAACAUGGCGAAACUCCAUCUCUACUAAAAAUACAAAAAAAUUAGCCGGGCGUGGUGGCGGGAGCCUGUAGUCCCAGCUACUCGGGAGGCUGAGGCAGGAGAAUGGCGUGAACCCAGGAGGCGGAGCUUGCAGUGAGCUGAGAUCGUACCACUGCACUCCAGGCUGGGUGACAGAGCGAGACUCCGUCUCAAAAAAAAAGAAAUGCUCAAUGGGUAUGGAUUAUUAGAAAUCAUCCAGUCCAAUGCUCUCAUUUUAUAAGCAGGGAAACUGAGGCCCACGUGUCUUUACAACAUGCUACAAAGCCAGGGACUUGGAAGUUCCUGAAAUCUUGAAGCUCUUCCACUCCCCUCCUCCACCAUCACGGCAUUCUAGAACUCAGAACAAAAGGCCAGCUCUUGAGUCCUCUGGGCCCCUUCCUCUGCUUUCAGGGGCAGGUAUGCUUGGGUAAGUGUGGUGGUCACUCAGUCACAGGAAGUAUGUUCUGGGAUGGGACAACCACAGCUGGUAUCCAGCCAGCUGAGUCAGGGCCACCCAUCUGCAAGGUGAUGAGUGAGGCUCGGCACGUGGGCUGGCACAGCUGCCCACCUCAGGGCACACAGGGGCGUGCUCACAUGGCAGCUGUCCAAAAAGGGCAGAUGUCUCUGCCUUUGGCAAUCCCGCCUUCACCUCCCUCUCCCCACACACACCGCACCCCAGUCACAGGGUGAUCACACAGGGGUCAGAGGAAGGAGGGCAGGCUGAUUCAGCCUCUUCCCAUCUGGUUCUGCUUCCCUGUGGGCAGGUGUCCUUAAUAUUCUCUCCAUGAAUGAGCACCUGGUACCCACAAACUCCUUGAAAUUGAAGGUAGGAGCCUUGUUCCAGGAUAAGGAUCAUAUAGCUGUCAUCAGAUUUCAAAAAGGAUUUUACUCCCAAAAAGGCAAUAGGAAGAAAAGCAAGUGGGCUGGGCGUGGUGGCUCAUGCCUAUAAUCCCAGCACUUUGGGAGGCCGAGGCAGGUGGAUCACCUGAGGUCAGGAGUUCGAGACCAGCCUGGCCAACAUGGUGAAACCCCACCUCUACUAAAAAUACAAAAAUUAGCCAGGCAUGGUGGCACGAGCCUGUAACCCCAGCUGCUUGGGAGGCUAAGGCAGGAGAAUCACUUGAACCUGGGAGGCAGAGGUUGCAGUGAGCUGAGAUCAUGCCACUGCACUCCAGCCUGGGCAACACAGUGAGACUCUGUCUCACAAAAAAAAAAAAAAAGAAAAGAAAAGCAAGUGGACAGGCUUUAGAAUUGGAUGAUCCAGGUUCAAACAAGGGCCCAUCCUGGAGUCCUUGGCACUUACUGUCUACGACAAUGGUUCUCAAGUAGGGACGAUUUUGCCCCCUAGGAACAUGUCUGGAGAAAUUGGGUAUGCUACCGGCAUUUAGUGGGCAGAGGCCAAGGAUGCUGCUAUGUAUCCUAUAAUGCACAGGGCAGGCCACACAGCAAAGAAGCACCCAGCCUCACAUGUCAGUACUAGUGAGGUUGAGAACCGCUGGUUGAGGUGUCCUGUCAAAUGGGGAAAUCUGUGCCCCACAGCCGCCUUGGGGAUUAAGGCAGGCAAUGGAUGAGGAACCCAGGACUGGGCCCAGCACACACUCCACAGUUGCAUGGGAUUCUCCUCUCCUAAGGACUUUUUGGCCUGGGACAUGGUAGCUAGCGGGCAGAGGUGGAGUAGGCACAUAUUUUGGCUUUCACGAGAGAACUUUCUGAAAUGAUCUUGAUGCUCCUGUCCCACCCAGCUCAUGGCACAGUUUCUCUAGAACAAUCCCAUGCUCAUUUAUCAACAAGGAAAACCCAGGCAUGGUGGCUCACACCUGUAAUCCCAGCACUUUGGGAAUCUGAGAUAGGAGGAUCACUUGAGCUCAGGAGUUCGAGACCAGCCUGGGCAACAUGGCGAAACACUGAUUCUGCAAAAAAUAAAAAAAAAAUUAGCUGGGUGUGGUGGUGUGUGCCUGUAGUCCCAGCUGCCCGGAGGGCUGAUGUAGGUGGAUAGCUCCAGCCUGGGAGGUUGAGGCUGCAGUGAACUAUGAUUGUGUCACUGCACUCCAGCCUGGGCGACAGAGGGGAGACCCUGUCCCAAGAAACAAAAAAAAAAAAAGAAAGAAAGAAAGAAAGAAAGAAAAAGUGGGCUCUGGAAGGAGCCAGCCACCGUUGCCCUCUGGGCACUCACCAUCUCACCCCUCAGGCUCCAACAGGGUUCCACGUGACCAAUCCCCGAGGGGAGAGGAGACUGCGGAGAGGAUGGGAGGCAAAGCACCUCCUUCAAGCUCCAGGGAGGCAGGAGGAUUUGUUUAGGAGUGGCCCUGUGCAGAGGUAGGGGCAUGGCUGAGAACACCUUGGGAGGUGGUGUGAAGCU